UCUCACAGCUCCUUGCAUUUAGCAGCACAUGGGUGUGGGUAGCUUGAUGGAAGAUGUUGAGCAGGCC
RNAcentral lists this microRNA precursor (67 nucleotides) under Gallus gallus (chicken). RNAcentral's name for it is "microRNA gga-mir-7468 precursor". Lineage: Eukaryota; Metazoa; Chordata; Aves; Galliformes; Phasianidae. The record is from miRBase by way of RNAcentral.